Molecule: ribosomal RNA, 433 nt
Filed under: uncultured bacterium
Lineage: Bacteria
Description: partial 16S ribosomal RNA
Rfam family: Bacterial small subunit ribosomal RNA
Source: RNAcentral
AACGAACGCUGGCGGCAUGCCUAACACAUGCAAGUCGAACGAGACCUUCGGGUCUAGUGGCGCACGGGUGCGUAACGCGUGGGAACCUGCCCUUAGGUUCGGAAUAACUCCCCGAAAGGGGUGCUAAUACCGGAUAAUGUCUUCGGACCAAAGAUUUAUCGCCUUUGGAUGGGCCCGCGUUGGAUUAGCUAGUUGGUAGGGUAAAAGCCUACAAAGGCGACGAUCCAUAGCUGGUCUGAGAGGAUGAUCAGCCACACUGGGACUGAGACACGGCCCAGACUCCUACGGGAAGUAGCAGUGGGGAAUAUUGGACAAUGGGCGAAAGCCUGAUCCAGCAAUGCCGCGUGAGUGAUGAAGGCCUUAGGGUUGUAAAGCUCUUUUACCCGGGAUGAUAAUGACAGUACCGGGAGAAUAAGCUCCGGCUAACUCCGUG